AUCAAACCUUAGUCAGAUUGAAGGCUUGGUGGUGCAACUGGGUCAAACCGCAUGAACAAUUAUAUUGCAGGUUCUCUUCAUGUCACAUUGACUUUUAGCCACUGCAUGACAAGCCAUUCAAGCAAUAAGCUGCUGUCAACUAAUUUCCGAUUGACGGUGAGGAGCUAUCUGAGAGAAUCUGAGUCAAUCCAAGUGAUCAAGACAAAAUCCACUGCGCAAGCAGACAGGAGAAGGAACAUCCCCACACCUGGGAGCCUUCUCCUCUCUUUGUUUCCCCCCUCUUGAGUCCCUGAGAGCUUGGGAGUCAUGGCAGCUCUCUCACUCUUCCUCUCCUCCAGUAUCCCCACCGGCACCCAGUCCCACAGCUACAGUUAGAGAGAGAAGCAUCUGAGGCCUUGACUGUGAUAGGGUUUGCCAAGCCUGUGUUAGCUUAGCUUCUACAUGGCCUCCCCCCACUCAUCAUCAUCUCUCUCUGUAAAUGGAAUUGGUGGUAUAGAUCCUUACAGGAAGUGGAAGAGCUUUAUAGAUUUGACUUUUUGAUCACUGUGAGAGAAGCAAUGAGCUUUCUAAUCCUCUUUCUACUUGGUCUUGCAUCCUUAAAGAAGAAGAAGAAGAAGAAGAAGAAGAAGAAGAAGAAGAAGAAGAAGUGGCCAUGGCGCAAGGAUCACAGGAUUCGAAGGUAUGAUGAUCACCUUAACUCUCAUCUACUGUUGGUAAUCGAAUGUCUUGUUGUUGCUUUCUUACUUCUGAACAAUAAUGACCUGAGAAUGUUCAAGCAUUUAUCUCACAGUUUUGGCUGAUAUUAGUUUGUUUGAAGUUUUACUAUUUCAUAAUAAUAUAGAGGAUUUCAUGGAUUCA
Long non-coding RNA from Musa acuminata AAA Group (dessert banana), 858 nucleotides. RefSeq lists it as uncharacterized. The record is from RefSeq and is a predicted model, not a curated record. Lineage: Eukaryota; Viridiplantae; Streptophyta; Magnoliopsida; Zingiberales; Musaceae. The transcript has 2 exons.